Molecule: ribosomal RNA, 523 nt
Filed under: uncultured Cryptophyta
Lineage: Eukaryota; Cryptophyceae
Description: bacterial SSU rRNA
Rfam family: Bacterial small subunit ribosomal RNA
Source: RNAcentral
CAGGAUGAACGCUGGCGGCGUGCUUAACACAUGCAAGUCGAACGAACCUUCGGGUUAGUGGCGGACGGGUGAGUAACGCGUGAGAAUCUGCCCUCAGGAGGGGGACAACAGCUGGAAACGGCUGCUAAUACCCCAUAUGCCGCGAGGUGAAAUGAAUUNNNNCUGAGGAUGAGCUCGCGUCUGAUUAGCUAGUUGGUGUAGGUAAUGGCUCACCAAGGCAUCGAUCAGUAGCUGGUCUGAGAGGAUGAUCAGCCACACUGGGACUGAGACACGGCCCAGACUCCUACGGGAGGCAGCAGUGGGGAAUUUUCCGCAAUGGGCGAAAGCCUGACGGAGCAACGCCGCGUGAGGGAUGAAGGCCUCUGGGCUGUAAACCUCUUUUAUCAAGGAAGAAGAUCUGACGGUACUUGACGAAUAAGCCACGGCUAAUUCCGUGCCAGCAGCCGCGGUAAUACGGGAGUGGCAAGCGUUAUCCGGAAUUAUUGGGCGUAAAGCGUCCGCAGGCGGCCCUUCAAGUCUGCUG